GACCAACCCUUAAAGACUGCUGCAUCUUUAGGAUAUUCUAGUCCAACAUCGAGGUCACAAACUCUCUUUUCGAUAAGGACUCUCAAAGAGAAUUAUGCUGUUAUCCCUAUGGUAACUAAUUCCAUUGAUCAAAAUUUCUGGAUCAACACUUGUAAGUCUUAUUAAUUAAUAAAGAAGCUUUGUUUGUUCCAUAGUCGCCCCAACCAAAAUCUAAAAUAGAUUAAUAUUUAAAAUUAUAUAUUGUUUUCAAUUUAUUCUUUUAAAGCUCAAUAGGGUCUUCUUGUCUUUCAAUUAAAUCUAGGUUUCCUCACCUAGAAAUCAAGUUCUAAAAAAUUACAUAGAGACAGCUUUGUUCACGUCAAACCAUUCAUACUAGCCCUCAAUUAUAGGGCAAAUGAUUAUGCUACCUUUGCACGGUCAGAGUACCGCGGCCGUUAAAAUAUAUUCACUGGGCAGGUCCGACUC
RNAcentral lists this ribosomal RNA (465 nucleotides) under Erronea cf. caurica sp. 2-CPM. RNAcentral's name for it is "partial 16S large subunit ribosomal RNA". The record is from RNAcentral. Lineage: Eukaryota; Metazoa; Mollusca; Gastropoda; Littorinimorpha; Cypraeidae.